GAUGAACGCUGGCGGCGUGCCUAAUACAUGCAAGUCGAGCGAACAGACGAGGAGCUUGCUCCUCUGACGUUAGCGGCGGACGGGUGAGUAACACGUGGAUAACCUACCUAUAAGACUGGGAUAACUUCGGGAAACCGGAGCUAAUACCGGAUAAUAUAUUGAACCGCAUGGUUCAAUAGUGAAAGACGGUUUUGCUGUCACUUAUAGAUGGAUCCGCGCCGCAUUAGCUAGUUGGUAAGGUAACGGCUUACCAAGGCGACGAUGCGUAGCCGACCUGAGAGGGUGAUCGGCCACACUGGAACUGAGACACGGUCCAGACUCCUACGGGAGGCAGCAGUAGGGAAUCUUCCGCAAUGGGCGAAAGCCUGACGGAGCAACGCCGCGUGAGUGAUGAAGGUCUUCGGAUCGUAAAACUCUGUUAUUAGGGAAGGACAAAUGUGUAAGUAACUAUGCACGUCUUGACGGUACCUAAGCAGAAAACCACGGCUAACUACGU
RNAcentral lists this ribosomal RNA (496 nucleotides) under uncultured bacterium. RNAcentral describes it as "partial 16S ribosomal RNA". It matches the Rfam family "Bacterial small subunit ribosomal RNA", at positions 28 to 506 of the family's 1533-position model. The record is from RNAcentral.